The sequence is a regulatory RNA element, 45 nucleotides long. It matches the Rfam family "Histone 3' UTR stem-loop". Rfam says of the family: The mRNAs of metazoan histone genes lack a poly-A tail. 3' end processing occurs at a site between a highly conserved stem-loop (modelled by this family) and a purine rich region around 20 nts downstream (the histone downstream element, or HDE). The record is from Rfam.
CAAAAGGCUUUUUUCAAAGCCACCCAAAUUCAAAUUAAUCAAAAG